Long non-coding RNA from Cataglyphis hispanica, 2415 nucleotides. RefSeq lists it as uncharacterized. The record is from RefSeq and is a predicted model, not a curated record. The transcript has 4 exons. Lineage: Eukaryota; Metazoa; Arthropoda; Insecta; Hymenoptera; Formicidae.
GCAACGCUGUGCCUGCCGAGAGAGCGCGGUGCAACAACGAACCCCUUUUCAAGGAUUACUUUUUUUUCACUCUGUCCGGCCGACGGAUUCUAUUUGGAAAACUACUUGCUGCAACUUGCGCCGUCCGCAUGAAUCGCAAACUCGGCCCGAUGCUCUCUCAUCUCGUCCUUUGUCUCUUUUCUUUCUAGCUGAAAUAUCGUCGAGGGAUCGUUAAAGCCUAGAGAUUGGAACACUACACCCUCGCUACUUUAUCUCGAAAAUUAUCGAUAUACCGGGUGACGAUGGACGUGCACGCGAUCGAUAGGCACGACACUCUUUCGAUGGGAUGUUUAAACCCUUUGCGGUCUUGAGGCGUCGCACGGCGCUGAAAAUUAACGAAUAUAAUUUGCACAAAUAUGUGGUACAUAUUUUUUUUUUUUUUAAACUUCAUGAAUUUAAAAGACGUCGAAUAUUGCAACGAUGAAAAGAUCUCGAUUCAUAAUCAACUUCCAACUUGAAAUAAAAACAUUACAGAAGUGACGAUUCAUGAUAAUUGUGACGUCAGAUAAUUAAUCAGUUGCCUUUGGGAGACGUCAUAUCGCAAAUCGCAUACAGCUCUUGUUAAUUGUGACCAAAUGCAAAAUAUGUUAUUGUGUGAAAAGAAUAUUAAAUUUUCUUGAAUAAUGAAAAUUGAGGUAAAAUCGAGCAACGAUAAUAACUUAAAAAGCAUGGGUGGCUUUCUGAGAUAGGAUUUCUUUUCCUAAUCACAUAUAACUCAUCGGCAUGGUACAGUCUAUCGAUAUCUUAUCAGUGCUUGGAAGUAAUAGACAAAGAUACACACGAUACGUUUAUGUAAACUAAGAGAAUAAAACAAAAAAAUGCUGCGUCACACAAAAUCGUUAUCACGAGGUUAUCAACUCCGAUUUACGGUAAUUUUAUAUAAUUUUAUAUUGUUAAUAAAUUUGUUUGCUAUUCUCUUUCUUUUCAUUUGAAGACAAAAUACAUCAAAGUACAUAAAUUAUUCAAUAUCAGUUAGAUACGUAUACGUAUGUGAUGAAAGUGACUAAUAAAAAUACUCGAGUAAUUGGAAAGAUUGAUAUUUUUUAUAUUACAUAUUUAUAAAAUGGAAAGCGAUAUGAAAAAUCUAUGGUCCCAAUGUCGCAUGUGAAAUUAAAACGUUACGAGUUGCAUGUAUACGAGCGGUUCUCCUUGCAUGACAAUACUUGAAAAUCGAUUCGUCUAAAAUGAGGCUUUAAGGGUGCACCCUCUGCUUCUCUUUUUCCCUCUUUAUCGGUAGUGUCGGUGGCGCGAAAAGAAACGAUAUUGAUCUGUGUGCGAAACGUGUUAUCAGAAAACUCACUCGUGUGUAAAAUCUUACGAUGCGUUUGUGCAUUAUUCACCGUUCAAGAGUUUUUUUCGAACUCGACACUCUAUGCGUCCUUUUACGUUGAUUAAUCGUUUAACCUAAUUCAACUCGGCACAUAUUAAAAUAUUGCGUUUUUCAAAUUCGUGUAGCAAUGUAAUUUCGAUAUCUUCGACGAUUUCUUCAAUACAGAAAUGUUAGAAUAUUUAUCUAUAAUAUUAAAAUUGAGAAAUGUUUACGAGUACAUCUCAUUAAUAAAAUCUAUGUUGCAGAAAGAUUCAUUACUCUUAAAAUUUUAUUUCUACUUGUUUAUUUCUUCUUAAUUUAAAGUUAACUUCUGAAUUUAAAUUCACGAUUUACCUCAGUCUGAUUUAUCUUUUACAUAUAUCAAAUUAUAUUCUUUUAAUACUUGUGAAUUUUAAAAAUAAAAUGGCUCGAUUAUAUAUACAUGAUAUAGAAAGUGGAAUAAAUUUUUUAAAAAUAUUUUCGUGCGUCUCAAUUAAUGACAAUUCAUGCUUAUGCACACACGCAAUACAUAUUUUCACUUAUUGACAAAAUUAUUGACAAAAAUGCCAAGUAUAUAUACGAAAGAUAGAUCUGUAGUUAUAUUGUUCAGAUUUUUUAGAUGCGUAAUUUCCACUUGCGUGUUGAAAAUAUAUGAUGUAAAUACUGUGCUUUAUAGAGCAUGAUAAUAAAAAGUAAAAUAUUCGCAAAUUCGAUCUCUCUCUCUCUCUCUCUCUCGUGUUUAAACUCAUCACUACUAAAUAUUGAAUUUUGUACCGCAACUUUUCAGUAAAAAAAAAAUUCACAUUAUUAAUAAUAAAAAGAAAAUUGCACUAACAAUUGCAGAUGUUCUAAUAUAUCUGUCAACGUGUGAACAAAUCAGGAUUGUUAUUGUUAGCAUAAAAAAGGCGUGACGUGAUGUUUUUAACGGAGUGUUUGUAAAAGCGUCAAUUAUCCAUGUAAUUAAAAAAAAUUAAAUAUCAUUUUCGUUCGAUUAUAUAUAUACACACCAUUUGCGCUACUUCGGAUUAUGCCGAAUCAAUUAUGUCGUUAUUGAAGAGAUAUCGUAC